AAAGGAAACAAAUCACAGAAAUACUUUACAUUUGAUCGUAAUAAAAAGUUGAUACAUUUCCUUAGUGGUACUUAAAUGAAUCCACUUGUUUGAAACAACAUGUUUUUUCAGAUGUAAGUAAGAGCUUGGGGAAGGUAACGAACACUACAAUGCACUGAUAGGAACUACCGUAAGCCCAGAUGUGAUGCUGCAACUCUUCGUAGUGGUUAACCACGUCAAGCAGCUGCAUGAUGUGCACAGGGUUGAUCCGUGGAGACCAACAGCAGAUGCCUGUUAACAUAGCCGAGGAUAAGGACAAUGAGGCCUCUGGAUUGGGGUCUCAACUGGGUUUAAGUUCUUAUCUCUGUUGACUUUGAGUGUAUCUAAUGUAAGCAUAAUGUGGUGCCCCAUUUAAAAAACAUCCCUAUUAAAAAAUCAGUUUGGUAAAAGCUUAGGUUUUACAGCCAUAAAGGAAUAUUUCCAUGUCACUAGCGACCUCCACAUCACCCCUCCUUGCUUUUGUGCGCAUUCAGCAUUUUAGGUUCUGCUAGAAGCUUCAUAAACGUAGUUUUUAAUCCAGUUUUCAGAACACUUUUUACUAACACUUUAAAUCUUGGUCUUUUUCCAGCUAAACAGUCUUUUACCCUAGCCUCAGGCAACAGGA
This is a long non-coding RNA of Notothenia coriiceps (black rockcod), 643 nucleotides long. RefSeq lists it as uncharacterized. The record is from RefSeq and is a predicted model, not a curated record. Lineage: Eukaryota; Metazoa; Chordata; Actinopteri; Perciformes; Nototheniidae. The transcript has 3 exons.